This 292-nucleotide ribosomal RNA is filed under the name uncultured prokaryote. RNAcentral's name for it is "partial 16S ribosomal RNA". It matches the Rfam family "Bacterial small subunit ribosomal RNA", at positions 505 to 796 of the family's 1533-position model. The record is from RNAcentral.
GUGUCAGCAGCCGCGGUAAUACGGAGGAUCCGAGCGUUAUCCGGAUUUAUUGGGUUUAAAGGGUGCGCAGGCGGAAUAUUAAGUCGGCGGUGAAAGUUUGCAGCUUAACUGUAAAAUUGCCGUUGAUACUGGUAUUCUUGAGUGUAUACGAAGUAGGCGGAAUUUGUGGUGUAGCGGUGAAAUGCAUAGAUAUUACAAGGAACUCCGAUUGCGAAGGCAGCUUACUAAAUUACAACUGACGCUUAGGCACGAAGGCGUGGGUAUCAAACAGGAUUAGAAACCCGUGUAGUCC